This 599-nucleotide ribosomal RNA is filed under the name uncultured Spirochaeta sp. Its description in RNAcentral is "bacterial SSU rRNA". It matches the Rfam family "Bacterial small subunit ribosomal RNA", at positions 62 to 655 of the family's 1533-position model. Lineage: Bacteria; Pseudomonadati; Spirochaetota; Spirochaetia; Spirochaetales; Spirochaetaceae. The record is from RNAcentral.
UCGAGGGGUAACAUUGUAGCUUGCUACAGAUGACGACCGGCGCACGGGUGAGUAACGCGUAUGCAACCUGCCUUUGACAGGGGGAUAGCCCGGAGAAAUCCGGAUUAAUAUCCCAUGGUAUUUACGAAUCGCAUGGUUUGUAAAUUAAAGAUUUUAUCGGUCAAAGAUGGGCAUGCGUGACAUUAGCUAGUUGGUAAGGUAACGGCUUACCAAGGCUGCGAUGUCUAAGGGUUCUGAGAGGAUGAUCCCCCACACUGGUACUGAGACACGGACCAGACUCCUACGGGAGGCAGCAGUGAGGAAUAUUGGUCAAUGGGCGCAAGCCUGAACCAGCCAUCCCGCGUGAAGGAAGACUGCCCUAUGGGUUGUAAACUUCUUUUCUGCACCAGGAAUGGUUACUACGUGUAGUGAUUUGACGGUAGUGCAGGAAUAAGCAUCGGCUAACUCCGUGCCAGCAGCCGCGGUAAUACGGAGGAUGCAAGCGUUAUCCGGAUUCAUUGGGUUUAAAGGGUACGUAGGUGGCCAAUUAAGUCAGUGGUGAAAUCCUGCCGCUUAACGGUAGAACUGCCAUUGAAACUGGUUGGCUUGAGUACAGUUGA